GAUGAACGCUGGCGGCGUGCCUAAUACAUGCAAGUCGAACGCAUUGAGAGAAGUGCUUGCACUUUUCAAUUUGAGUGGCGAACGGGUGAGUAACACGUGGGCAACCUACCUGAUAGCGGGGGAUAACGAGUGGAAACAUUCGCUAAUACCGCAUAACAAUAGAGAAGGCAUCUUCUUUAUUUAAAAGGCGCUUUCAAGCGUCACUAUCAGAUGGGCCCGCGGUGCAUUAGUUAGUUGGUGGGGUGAAGGCCUACCAAGACGAUGAUGCAUAGCCGAGUUGAGAGACAGAUCGGGCACAUUGGGACUGAGACACGGGCCAAAGUCCUACGGGAGGCUGCAGUAGGGAAUCUUCCACAAUGGACGAAAGUCUGAUGGAGCAACGCCGCGUGUGUGAUGAAGGCUUUCAGGUCGUAAAGCACUGUUGUAUGGGAAGAAAUGCUAGGCUAGGAAAUGAGCUUAGUUUGACGGUACCAUACCAGAAAGGGACGGCUAAAUACGUGCCAGCAGCCGCCGUAA
RNAcentral lists this ribosomal RNA (516 nucleotides) under uncultured bacterium. RNAcentral's name for it is "partial 16S ribosomal RNA". It matches the Rfam family "Bacterial small subunit ribosomal RNA", at positions 28 to 523 of the family's 1533-position model. The record is from RNAcentral.